UGAGGAAUAUUGGGCAAUGCCCGCAAGGGUGACCCAGCAACGCCGCGUGGAGGAUGAAUGUCGUAAGAUUGUAAACUCCUGUUAGAGGGGAAGAAUAGUACCGGUUGGACCGGUAUAUGACUGUACCCUCAGAGAAAGCCCCGGCUAACUACGUGCCAGCAGCCGCGGUAAUACGUAGGGGGCAAGCGUUGUCCGGAUUUACUGGGUGUAAAGGGCGCGCAGGCGGAAUGGAAAGUCAGUGGUGAAAUCCUACAGCUUAACUGUAGAACUGCCUUUGAUACUUUCAUUCUUGAGUUCGGGAGAGAGAGACGGAAUUCCAGGUGUAGUGGUGAAAUACGUAGAUAUCUGGAAGAACACCAGUUGCGAAGGCGGUCUCUUGGUUCGAUACUGACGCUGAGGCGCGAAAGCGUGGGGAGCAAACA
RNAcentral lists this ribosomal RNA (422 nucleotides) under uncultured bacterium. RNAcentral's name for it is "bacterial SSU rRNA". It matches the Rfam family "Bacterial small subunit ribosomal RNA", at positions 355 to 774 of the family's 1533-position model. The record is from RNAcentral.